AGAGUUUGAUCCUGGCUCAGGGCGAACGCUGGCGGCGUACUUAACACAUGCAAGUCGAACGAGGAUCAUCAGUGUAGCAAUACAUUGGUGGUCCUAGUGGCGCACGGGUGAGUAACACGUGGGUAACCUGCCCUUGAGCUCGGGAUACCCCCUCGAAAGGGGGGCUAAUACCGGAUACGUUCCUCGGAUCGACAGGUCUGGGGAGGAAAGGUGGCGCAAGCUGCCGCUCUUGGAGGGGCUCGCGGCCUAUCAGCUAGUUGGCGGGGUAACGGCCCACCAAGGCUAUGACGGGUAGCUGGUCUGAGAGGACGACCAGCCACACGGGGACUGAGACACGGCCCCGACUCCUACGGGAGGCAGCAGUGGGGAAUUUUCCGCAAUGGGCGAAAGCCUGACGGAGUGACGCCGCGUGUGGGACGAAGGCCUUCGGGUCGUAAACCACUGUCAGUGGGAAAGAAGGGUGUCGGUGCUAAUACCAUCGGCAUUUGACGGUACCUGCAGAGGAAGCCCCGGCCAACUCUGUGCCAGCAGCCGCGGUAAGACAGAGGGGGCAAGCGUUGCUCGGAAUUACUGGGCGUAAAGGGCGCGUAGGCGGGAUGGCAAGUCGGUCGUGAAAUCCUUCGGCUCAACCGAAGAACGUCGAUCGAUACUGCUGUUCUUGAGGGUUGCAGAGGAGACUGGAAUUCCCGGUGUAGCGGUGAAAUGUGUAGAGAUCGGGAGGAACACCGGUGGCGAAGGCGGGUCUCUGGGCAAUUCCUGACGCUGAGGCGCGAAAGCGUGGGGAGCAAACGGGAUUAGAUACCCCCGUAGUCC
Molecule: ribosomal RNA, 813 nt
Filed under: uncultured bacterium
Lineage: Bacteria
Description: bacterial SSU rRNA
Rfam family: Bacterial small subunit ribosomal RNA
Source: RNAcentral